This is a non-coding RNA of Pelodiscus sinensis (Chinese soft-shelled turtle), 1034 nucleotides long. Lineage: Eukaryota; Metazoa; Chordata; Testudines; Trionychidae. The record is from RefSeq and is a predicted model, not a curated record.
UUGGGGGUUUUCUUUGUCUCUGGGCAGUUUCUCUCCAGCUAUUGAGGGGAACAGACACUAUGUCUCUCCCCAAGAAGAGACUCUUCACAGUCUAAUGCAUUACAUUUCCAGCUCACCAAAGGACCAUCUGACAAAGUCACCCAAAUUUACAGGGCCCAGGUAAGCCUUAAUCCACCACUGCAAAGACACACAGUCAUUUCUUCAGCGAGAACAAUGUGAUAUAAAAUGCAGAUUGAAAGGGUAUGCACAUGUGUGGCGGAGGAGCCCCUCACAGUGGUGAGGGCCAUCAACACUGUCUUGCUGUGCAGGGUCAUCAACCUAGGCAACAUCAUUUCCGGCUUUGUUGACAGGGCUUCCGCCACUGAGGGGGCGCUAUUGAUGGCACCUACAUCUGCAUCUGGACCUCCAACCACCUGGCAGCUAAAUACAUCCACCGGCAGGGGUACUUCUCAAUAGUCCUGUAGGCCAUCUGGGACCAGUGGGGCCAGUUUAUGGACAGCUAUGGCAGGUAGUUGGGGAAAACGCAUGAUAGUCAUGUCUUCCCUUGUUGGCCAGGCUCUUGGCCAUAUAGCCAUAGAUGUCCAUGUUCCUGCGUCUGGUGCAGAGAUCCUGGAGGUUGGUCUUGUCACCCCAGACCUCAGUGAGGUCCAGGAUCUCUGCACCAGACCAGGAAGGGUGCGUCUCUUUUGGCUCCGGGCAGGCUCCUGGGAGCUGUCUGACUGCCCCCUCGGAGCAGUGGAGUGCUAGGUGGGAGUAGCAGACUGAGUCAUUUUGGGCAAAUUCUGAGGCAGGGGCAGCUGCUGGGUGGCUCAGGGCCAUUAGGGCCUCCUGUUUGCCACAAGCCCUUUCCCCUAAGGCUGCAGCUUUAAGGGCUCUGUGCAGACAUAACCACAGAGCACAAGCCCUUAGUGAAGCAGCUGCCCUGCCUGCUGGCUCAUGGAGUCUAACCCCAGCACCAGAGACAGAACCUACUGGAGCAGACCCCAAACCACCACACCUAGUUCCAGAAGGUUCUGGGCAUGGAGUGCUAAAUC